Molecule: non-coding RNA, 48 nt
Organism: Chryseobacterium indologenes
Lineage: Bacteria; Pseudomonadati; Bacteroidota; Flavobacteriia; Flavobacteriales; Weeksellaceae
Source: Rfam
GGUUUCUUAGCUCAGUUGGUAGAGCAAUGGAUUGAAAAUCCAUGUGUC